AGUGAACGCUGGCGGUAGGCCUAACACAUGCAAGUCGAACGGCAGCACAGGAGAGCUUGCUCUCUGGGUGGCGAGUGGCGGACGGGUGAGGAAUACAUCGGAAUCUGCCCAGUCGUGGGGGAUAACGUAGGGAAACUUACGCUAAUACCGCAUACGACCUUCGGGUGAAAGAGGGGGAUCGCAAGACCUCUCGCGAUUGGAUGAGCCGAUGUCGGAUUAGCUAGUUGGCGGGGUAAUGGCCCACCAAGGCGAUGAUCCGUAGCUGGUCUGAGAGGAUGAUCAGCCACACUGGAACUGAGACACGGUCCAGACUCCUACGGGAGGCAGCAGUGGGGAAUAUUGGACAAUGGGCGCAAGCCUGAUCCAGCCAUACCGCGUGGGUGAAGAAGGCCUUCGGGUUGUAAAGCCCUUUUGUUGGGAAAGAAAUCUUUCAGGCUAAUACCCUGGGAGGAUGACGGUACCCAAAGAAUAAGCACCGGCUAACUUCGUG
Molecule: ribosomal RNA, 490 nt
Filed under: uncultured bacterium
Lineage: Bacteria
Description: partial 16S ribosomal RNA
Rfam family: Bacterial small subunit ribosomal RNA
Source: RNAcentral